GGGCUUGUCGUAUAAUGGUUAUUAUGUUCGGCUGGCAGUCGAGAGAUCCGAGUUAGAUUCUCGGCAGGUCCA
Molecule: transfer RNA, 72 nt
Filed under: Candidatus Pacearchaeota archaeon
Lineage: Archaea; Nanobdellati
Description: tRNA-Ala
Rfam family: tRNA
About the family: Transfer RNA (tRNA) molecules are approximately 80 nucleotides in length. Their secondary structure includes four short double-helical elements and three loops (D, anti-codon, and T loops).
Source: RNAcentral